CCAGGAAAAUGGCAAUUGCAUCUUCCUUCUGGAAGAACCUUUACCCUAACUUCUGAACACCAGGUCAAAGGACAGUGUCAGAGUGGGUUCCGUUGGUGAUCUAAAUCAAAAGGAAAUUUGUGCCUCAUUAACCGAGCCGGUAGCUGCCAGAUUAAACCAACACACCGCCUGUGUGCCCUCCAAGACCUCGGUGCCCCUCCAGUGCUGGCCUCUAGAACAUCCCCAUAUUUAAUCUCUC
Pristis pectinata (smalltooth sawfish) is the source of this 238-nucleotide long non-coding RNA. RefSeq lists it as uncharacterized. The record is from RefSeq and is a predicted model, not a curated record. Lineage: Eukaryota; Metazoa; Chordata; Chondrichthyes; Rhinopristiformes; Pristidae. The transcript is spliced from 3 exons.